Molecule: ribosomal RNA, 253 nt
Filed under: uncultured bacterium
Lineage: Bacteria
Description: partial 16S ribosomal RNA
Rfam family: Bacterial small subunit ribosomal RNA
Source: RNAcentral
UACGGAGGGUGCAAGCGUUAUACGGAAUCAAUGGGCUUAAAGGGAGCGAAGGCUGCUGCAUAAGUCAGGUGUGAAAGUUUGUCGCUUAACGAUAGAAUUGCCUUUGAUACUGUGCGGCUUGAUAUUAGGUGAGGUUGGCGGAAUGUGACAUGUAGCGGUGAAAUGCGUAGAUAUGUCAUAGAACACCGAUUGCGAAGGCAGCUGGCUAACCUAGAUUUGACGCUGAGGCACGAAAGCGUGGGUAGCAAACAGG